This 301-nucleotide ribosomal RNA is filed under the name uncultured bacterium. RNAcentral describes it as "partial 16S ribosomal RNA". It matches the Rfam family "Bacterial small subunit ribosomal RNA", at positions 509 to 807 of the family's 1533-position model. The record is from RNAcentral.
CAGCCGCCGCGGUAAUACGAAGGGUGCAAGCGUUAAUCGGAGUUACUGGGCGUAAAGCGUGCGUAGGCGGUGAGUUAAGUCUGCUGUGAAAUCCCCGGGCUCAACCUGGGAAUGGCAGUGGAUACUGGCUCGCUAGAGUGUGUCAGAGGAUGGUGGAAUUCCCGGUGUAGCGGUGAAAUGCGUAGAGAUCGGGAGGAACAUCAGUGGCGAAGGCGGCCAUCUGGGACAACACUGACGCUGAGGCACGAAAGCGUGGGGAGCAAACAGGAUUAGAUACCCCUGUAGUCCCUGUCUCUUAUAC